AAGCUCGUAGUUGAAUUUCGGGAUCAGACUGUCGGUCGUGCCUCGGUACGCACUGGCAUUAUUGGUUCCUACCUUCUGAAGAACCGCGAUGUCAUUAAUUUGGUGUCGUGGGGAAUCAGGACUGUUACUUUGAAAAAAUUAGAGUGUUUAAAGCAGGCUUACGCUUGAAUACAUUAGCAUGGAAUAAUGAAAUAGGACGUUUGAUUCUAUUUUGUUGGUUUCUGGGAUCGACGUAAUGAUUAAUAGGGAUAGUUGGG
RNAcentral lists this ribosomal RNA (257 nucleotides) under uncultured Glomus. RNAcentral's name for it is "partial 18S ribosomal RNA". It matches the Rfam family "Eukaryotic small subunit ribosomal RNA", at positions 624 to 886 of the family's 1831-position model. The record is from RNAcentral. Lineage: Eukaryota; Fungi; Glomeromycota; Glomeromycetes; Glomerales; Glomeraceae.